This 173-nucleotide ribosomal RNA is filed under the name Myersiohyla neblinaria. RNAcentral describes it as "Myersiohyla sp. JF-2013b partial 16S ribosomal RNA". Lineage: Eukaryota; Metazoa; Chordata; Amphibia; Anura; Hylidae. The record is from RNAcentral.
ACGUGAUCUGAGUUCAGACCGGAGCAAUCCAGGUCAGUUUCUAUCUAUAAAGGGCUUUUUCUAGUACGAAAGGACCGAAAAAGCAUGGCCAAUAUUCAAACACGCCAUCUAACUAACUUAUGACUCAAACUUAAUAAACAACAAACCUUUUUCCUCGCCCCAAAAACAGAGCA